Chrysemys picta bellii (western painted turtle) is the source of this 6719-nucleotide long non-coding RNA. RefSeq lists it as uncharacterized. NCBI's taxonomy places the organism in Eukaryota, Metazoa, Chordata, Testudines, Emydidae. The record is from RefSeq and is a predicted model, not a curated record.
UCCUGAUUACUCUACUGCAGCCCCUGCUCUGGUCACUCAGGGAACAGAAAACUACUCAUCCAGUGACCAGUAUAUUUGCCCUCUACCAGACUCCUGUACCCCACUGGUCUGGGUCUGUCACAACACAUACAAGAAAGUCUACCAGAGGAUCCCCCCCUCCCCCAACUCUAACCCCGGGCUCUGGUAGGUUUUAGUCCUUCAAAACCCACAGUUCCUGUGGUUACAAGUUCAUCCGUCUUAGAUCCAGAUCACAAAGCUGGUCAGAUCUAAGGCUUUUCUGCAGACAAUGACCCUUUCCUCACAGCAUAGCUUCCAAAGGCAGGGUUUUUGCAUAACCUGAGAUAAUUUGCCUCUUCCUAGGGAUUUUCCAGGAAAUUCACUUAAAACCUAUUGUCCCAAAAGUUCAUAUUUGUUUGGAGCAUUUUGAAUAUAGUCUUUUGAAUUCUCAGGUUUCAUAUCUGUCACAUCUCCCCCUAGAGGGGUUACAUACAAUCCUGGCCCACAAUGAUAUGGAAACUUAAUACAAUAAGGUCUUCUGAGGCUAUUGCAGGAAAUUGCAGUAUCUGUCACAGCUAUGACCACUGCAUUACUCAAAACGUAGGCAAGGAGGCUUGAAUUAAAAAUAACACUCACUCCUGCCUGAAAACAGCUAAAAAUAACAAAUAUAAAAGAAAAGGAUGGGAGCAAAGUGAGCUGUUACUUUGCUGCUGCUGUGGAUGCAGAAAAUCUGGUGGCAAGUGGGAGAGGGGGCAUGGCCAUUUUUGAACAACCUCCAGGAACUGUAGUGAGGAACGGUCUAUGUGUAGCAUAUUUGUGGGAGAUGCUGGGCUGCAGAAACUUGUUCAACAGGAACUAGUGGUGAGUUGGAAUUUUAGUGAAGUUUAGUGUUCGUAAUCAUGGGCCACUUAGAUUCAGCAUCUUAUGGAAAUUGAAUCACAGACUGCAAUAGGUACCAAGGUAUUUAAUUUUCAAGAAUACAGUUUAGGGAAAUCUGGUGGCAUAUGCAGUAGGCAAAAGUAUUAAAAUGCAUAAAUGUGGCAGAGAUCUGGAGAAUUUUAAGACACCACGUUCAAGCCACAAGAGCUUGCAUUUCCUCUGAACUUUUUUUAAAAAGUAGUAAACAUGGCUGAGUCAGGCUCAAAACAUUUUUUUAAAUGGAUUGCAAAGGGGCAGGGGAGAAAGGUGAAAGGAAUGAAACAAAAGUUUCUAGGGAAAAGAAAAGGUCUGAAAAAGUUACCUGAAGAGGGAUAAAGACUUCCACAAAUCUAUUGGGAAAGAAAAAGUUGGCUGAUUAGCAAAUAAGGGUGGGGAAAUAAAAUAAAAUGAUGAUUAAAUGGGUGGGACACUGAGUGUGUGCUUACCACAGUGUGCAGAUGAAGUCUUUCUAUUCUGAUGAGCAUACAUUAAAUUCUAACAGUACAGUUGUGCAUGGUGUACUGGAUGAUGUGGAGGACAGCUAAAGCUGCAGCUAGGCCAUGUCUACACUUACCAGUAGAUUGGCACUGCUGUAAUCGAUGCAGUGAGUGUCGAUUAAGUGGGUCUGGUGAAGACACACUAAAUCAAUGGGAGAGCACUCUCCCAUCGAUUUGUGUACUCCACCUCCCCGAGAAGCAUAAGGGAAAUCGACGGGAGACGCGCUCCUGUUGCCACAGUGCAGUGUAGACACCAUGGUAAGUGGAUCUAACCAGGUCUACUUCAGUUAAGUUAUUCAUGUGACUGAAGUUGCAUAACUUAUAUCGAUUUACCGGAGUAGUGUAGAUCAGCCCAACUACCAGAAAAGUAAUUUUAUUGAAUAAGUAUUGACUGCAUUGGUAAAAUAACAUUCAGUAGUUAGUGCUAUUUGGCCACUACAAAAUACAAACUUAGUUGGUUCAACAGCGUAUUCACUGUAUAGUAUUCAAAUAUCUCUAGUUCAAUUUUAAUUUUUUUAAUUAGGUAGAUGACCAAUUUUUUUUCUAAUGUGCUGAGGUGCUUUGAAGAAGGAAUUAAUGUUCAGUGAUUUAUUUUAAAUCAUUGAAAGGAGAAAAUACCAAAUUCAAAAAAGCCAAUGUGGUAGUGAUCUCUUACAGUCGAUCUGUCAGUUAUUAUAGGUAAGUCCAACUUUGUUCCUUAAAAUGGAAAAUGUGCCUCACAAGAGCUAGAUACGUUUAGUAUACCAAAAGAGAAUGUUUAGAAAGUGGUGAUGUGAUAUCAUGGUCUACAAGGAGAAGAUAACUGGUAUUCGGGACCCUUUAAUCUAGCAGAGGGACAUAACAAGAUUCAAAGGCUGGAAAUUUAAAUUAGAAAAAUUCAAAUUGGAAAUAAGGUUGAGAGUAACUUUUAGAAUAGGUUACCCUGGAAAAUGAUAAAUUCUCUAUUGCUUGGCGUCUUUAAAUGAAGAUUGGGUGUCUUUCUAAAAGCUAUGCUGUAGUUCAACCACAAGUACAGGAAUUACUGAGUGAAAUUCAUGACUUGUGUCAUACAGAAGGUAAGAUUAGAUGAUCAUAAUGGCACCUUCUGGCCUUAAAUCUAUGAAAAAGUAUUAGAACCAAUAUGAGGAGAAAUUUAUAAGCAGCUAGAGGUGACAUAGUGAGCAGCAAAUGUAAGGAAACAGCAGAUGUAAUAUUUUAGUAAAAACAUUCAGCAGUCUCGUAAUUUUACUUGUACAGUAGAAUUCAGAUGGGGCUCAAAAGUUACUGAAAGUCUGUGUAAAUAAGGGGUAAUAAUUAAAUGACAAAUAUAUCACAUUGAGGUCAAUUUGGAUACCCCAAGGAUUUGUUGGGUCUUAAUUAACAAAUGGUUUCUAGGGAGAUGAAUAUCUUGGAAUCAUUGGAUGGGAUUGGGGGGAUAGGUGGUAGCUGAGAGUUUUUUAAAGUGUUAUUAAAAAUGGUAUCAGUUUGGCUCUGAAUCAUUGUUAAAGCUUAUAAGGCUGGUCUAGAUAAUACUUAGUCCUGCCAUGAGUGCAGGGGACUGGACUAGAUGACCUCUCGAGGUCCCUUCCAAUCCUAUGAUUCUAAGGCAUUAUAACCAGUAGUCCAGCAGUGUCCUCAUUUCUCAGUGGGAGGCUAACUGCUUCAGGUAGGGUUUGUUUUCUGUUUGUUCAAAAUCAUUUGAAUUUUUUUGGGACAAAACUUGGCCAUUUUUGGAAAACGGAAAGUUUUAUGAAAACAGUUUGAUUUUUCUCAAUUUUCCAUUUUUGUCAAUACAAGCUUUUUGUUUUGUUGUUGUUGUUCACUAUAGGUCCCUUUUCUAUGGCCAGUUUUGAUUGGCUUUACUGAGUCACGCGGUGUGAUAUUUUUCUAAAAUAUAUUUUAAAAUCCUGGUAAUGUAAGAACACUUCUCUGAUCUUUGGCUCACUACAGCAAAAAAUGUCUGAGUAAUGAUAAAAGAUAAACACAGCCAUUCUGAUCUUGGCACCUCAUGGCAGUCCACCAGAGAGAAGCCUUGGGCCUAGUACUUGGGGUGCCUCUUCUUAUGAAUCCUUCUAUCAGAGAGCAGUUAGGUAUUGGCCUUGAAGUCUCCCUGCCCAGGAUUCAAUCUUGUAAUGAGUGUUCUUGUUGGGGACCUCUCUGCUGCUGCAUUUUCAUCCUCUUAUCCAUAUGUAGCCAGCUACCUUAUACGUGCUUGCAGGCUGCUUUCCCUGGAGGUACAGUCCACACACCCCACAAUCCUCAUUGUGUGGUCUACCUCUGUUUUUGGUGAAUAUAGCUGCCGCUUUGCUUUGUGCCAAACACCUGCUCAGAUCAGACUCCUACUCCAGGCUAAUCCAUUGCAUCUGAACAUCUUGGCUGCACACACUUUAUUAGAUGUUACAGCCCUUCUAGGAAAAGUGGCUGCUGUGUUCAUGUUUCAGGCCCCUUUUUAGUUCGCUCUGGCUUUAGUGUCCUUUAUCCCCAGCCAGCUACUUCUCCACAGGUUCAGCUUCUGCUACUAAUGGCCCACUCCCCUGCUGGGUUUUCCUGGCCACACCUCUCACUGCUCAGGCUGCCUCCAACUGUUGCAGAAUUCCCAGGGAGAGAAUUCUCGUCUAGGGACAGACCCUUCUAAAAGGUUUCUGGCUCCCUUUCCUCAAGGAUAUGGGACAUGAUCUGCUUUUCCACUCUCCUUGCUGAACAUUCUCCUUCCAAGAGAGGAGAGAGAAUAGUGACUCUGUUGUUCAGCAGAUUCACCACAGUACUUAGUCACCCCACCCUCUGCAUCCUCUGGCCUCUCUAUACCAAGUCCAUCCUGUAUGCUCAAGGCUCUGCAUCCUGCAUGUUCUGGGUCCUCUCCCUACACAAUUUAAAUCAUUUAAAGAACUUUCUUACAAAAGACUAAGGGAAACCUAGCUCCUGCUUUGAGAUUUUAAUAACAUAGCCUGGGGCAUGAAACUUACCUCAGAACACUUGGCUUUUGACUAGAUCCUUUUUUGUAUAAGUUGUUACAGUGCACAUGUUCUCAAAAACGCUUCUUUCGGGGUUCUGAGGAAUAGCUACUGCUAUAAUAGAUACAACUGCUGUACAGACAGCUACAGCAAUGUUAACCUCGGGCGUUAAGGAGCCUGGAAAUCAUGUAAAGAAACAGGUAAGAACAGCAGAAGUACUGAUAGAAGCUGAAGUUAGAUUUUCCUGUUCUGAAGUUAGAUUUUCCUGUUCUGGCACUAGUGGACAAAACCAACCAUCUCCUGGUUUUUAUGUUGUUGUUGCCAUAAUAAAAAGGACGGCGAGGGAAACCUUGUUCUAGCCUGCAAGCUUGUUAUAGUACAGAAGUGAUAUUCUUUUCUAGCUCAUCUAUCUCUGUUCUAGUUAAAGGGGUAGAGAAGCAAGUCCAAGUCCACUUCUUCAUAUCAGAAUGUUUCAUUUGUUUGAGUCAAAUUAGUCACUGGUGAAUCUCUGCUGACUUCAGUAAAGGCUAGAAACAUCCAUACAUGUGUACCUGGGAUCUCCAGAAUGGAUAGCAAGGGGCUAAAGAACAGAGCGGUCCUGUUUAAUCAGGAAUUAUGAAAAGUUGUUUUUAAAUUAUAAGUUUUUUUAAUAAGCCAGGAGAAACCUGAAGCACAAACAACAUUGUGGGGACCCUGCACAGGAGGGUGCGAAUGAGCGUGCCUCCAGGGCUCUGGCUCUGUUCUGGGGCCCCCUCAUAUGGAUAAGGCCAGGCCUCCAGCAAUGUGUGAUCAGCCCAGUGUAGGAGGUGCUCUUAGUCCUGAGCUGAAACUGGGAUUUCUAAACACCUUCCCCCAUCUCCAUCUACCAGUAGCCCCUGACUUAUGCUUCCUCUCGUUCUCACCCCACUGGAGAUGUGCAGGCACCCUCAUAGGAUUGUGAGCAUCCUACACUUCCCUUAUGUGUUUGCAACCCUCUUUCAGCACCCAUACCUUUCCCAGUAGUGGUGGGAAAUUGAGAGCAAGUGUUUGUGUGCAUUUCCCAGGAGAAGGCUGGAGGAGGUUCAUUGUGAAAAGAAGUCAUACAAGGUCACUUCUGGCACCGCCUGGAAUAGAGAUCAAGUCCCCAAAAUGGCAAACUGUAGCUCUCAUAUACUCAGUCAGGCUAUCUUUUAUAUUGAAUAUGUCAAAGGUAUGUGCUUGGCUACCCACUUUGUAAGAACUUCAGUAACCGCUGCUGUAGACUACAUUCUCCUCCCAAUGCCACAAACUGAACCCAGGAAUCCUGAUUCCCACUAUUCUGUUUCUAGCAAAUAUUUGUGUAGCCCACAGGCAAUGUAUGUCAGGUCCCUUUUAGCAAUCAUGGGCCAUAUAGGGUCAGAUACUCCUUUUGCUUAGUGAUAGAGGCCUCUCGUAGGUCUAAUUUGCAGGUCCAAUAUGUAAAUCUUGAUGCUGACUCAUAGAGAUUCUUCUGUUUGCAAGAGAUGGAACUUCUGUUAUUUCCCCCCUCCCCAGUUUCUUUUGUAAUAGAUUUUCUGGAGUUGGUGAGUGAACUUCUUUGAGUGUCUAUGUUUACAUGAGUAGAGGCAUGUCUGUAUGCUCAUCUGCAUAUGCUUUUUAUUGUUGCAUGCCUGGGGGUCUGCAAUGAGGGGCAGGGAGUGGAAAUAUUUCAGAUCAAUCCACCCCAGACAAAUAUUCAUUCCCUUUCACUGUCCCUUGUGCAGUAAUAACAAUGUGACUUUUAGAAAGAGUAUAAAGUCUGGACAGGGCAAAAUGAGAAGACACCCCUCUGUGUAAAUCCCCUAUGGGAUCCCUCUAGGUGGUAGUAUUGAUCAUAGGAACGUAUGGAGGCUUCUGGAUGGCCCAAGAUAUUGGAUGGUGAAGAUGCAUGAUCCCCUACAAUAUCUGGGGGCAAUGACCCAUUUCUUUGGGUUUCCUGACCUCCAUUUGUGCUCUUUGUUUCAGCUCUUGCCUAUUUGCUGUUUGACGAAGAACCCUCAAUUGGUAGAAAUAUCUUUGCCAUCUUUGAGCAGAUGAACUGGCCUGCACCGCACAGACAGUCCUUCUCACUGAGAAGCCACUUCUACUACAGCUUCUCAUGAUUGGCACAGGAAGCCAGAAAAAAUUGGACAGUUGCUCUCCUGAAAAGGCUCUCCUCCUGCUUCUGUUGACCAGGGAACAACCACCAUGGAUUACCAACGCACGGGGGAGUCAGUCCUGCCCCCUAUUGCGAUGCUGCCUCAUCACAGAAUGUAAAGCAAGAACAUCACUGUACAACAGAAGGGGAUGGACUGUCAACUUGCCAGAAGGCUGGUGGCUGAAACUUAAUUUGUAGAUAGGCUUGUAUAAAUGUUUGCACCUUUCUGAUUUUUAAUAAAAC